AGCCGACAAGACUAAACCAUUCGCGAGAAUGGGGCGGAAAGCCCAUAGGGUCUCACUGAGACAGCCGGGAUGCCGAA
Molecule: non-coding RNA, 77 nt
Filed under: Geobacter pickeringii
Lineage: Bacteria; Pseudomonadati; Thermodesulfobacteriota; Desulfuromonadia; Geobacterales; Geobacteraceae
Description: c-di-GMP sequence
Rfam family: c-di-GMP-I riboswitch aptamer
About the family: GEMM was predicted in a large-scale screen for bacterial structured RNA regulatory elements. Genes associated with GEMM are involved in a diverse array of functions, including chemotaxis regulation, signal transduction, secretion and chitin.
Source: Rfam by way of RNAcentral